This 379-nucleotide unclassified non-coding RNA is filed under the name soil metagenome. RNAcentral's name for it is "partial contains 5.8S ribosomal RNA, internal transcribed spacer 2, and large subunit ribosomal RNA". The stretch from base 1 to 120 matches the Rfam family "5.8S ribosomal RNA", at positions 35 to 154 of the family's 154-position model. The record is from RNAcentral.
GAUGAAGAACGUAGCGAAAUGCGAUAAGUAAUGUGAAUUGCAGAAUUCAGUGAAUCAUCGAAUCUUUGAACGCACAUUGCGCCCGCCAGUAUUCUGGCGGGCAUGCCUGUUCGAGCGUCAUUCCAACCCUCAAGCCCCAGCGGCCUGGUGUUGGGGACCGGCGACCUCGCCCGAGCCCGCCCUCCGGGGCGCGUGCCCGGUGCGUCCGCCGCCCCCGAAAUGAAUUGGCGGCCUCGUCGCGGCCUCCUCUGCGUAGUAGCACAACCUCGCAAGCGGGAGCGCGACGCGGCCACUGCCGUAAAACGCCCAACUUUUUUAGAGUUGACCUCGGAUCAGGUAGGAAUACCCGCUGAACUUAAGCAUAUCAAUAAGCGGAGGA